Molecule: long non-coding RNA, 731 nt
Organism: Lolium rigidum
Lineage: Eukaryota; Viridiplantae; Streptophyta; Magnoliopsida; Poales; Poaceae
Exons: 3
Source: RefSeq, a predicted model, not a curated record
ACCACCACGGGAGCCCCACGGCCGCCACGGCUGCACUGUAGCCCCAAAACUGAAACACACUUUGAUUUGUUGGGGGCGGCUGAGGUCCAUCAGGAGCUAGGAGUCCCACAAGGAGGGUCUCUGCAGCGAUCCUGUGAAGAUUGGGGAACGAGGGCAGCCGAACAGAUAUAGUACGACUGGAGGACGCAACCUAAGAUUCAGAGAUGGGAGCUCGCUACCGUACUACAUGGAUCUAGGGCAUUAACCUGAGGAGGAAACCAAUUUUGGGUCUUCCCUGUGACAUACUUUUGUAAGAAUUGAGGUGCAGCUUGACGACAUUACGCAGUUUGGUCGGCUAGGCUGCUGCAACGCUAGGGGAGAAGGACAUCAGUGUAGAGCAUGGCGAGGCUGAAUAGUUGUUGUAUUUGAGGAUGUCUGAUCGGCAGUUGUAUGCAUGAUCAUCCAUUAGCAUCUGUUGUUGGAGCUGCAGCAGGCCUUCUCCCCUACAGUUGAAGGUCAAGAGCACAAGAGACCGAGAAAGAAUUGAACACUGUUGUUUCAAGUUCUCCUUUGCUUUCAGGUGUUCUGUCCAAGGCGGAUGAUCUGCGAUGGCAGUCGAUCGUAGCACUGGUGAUUUUUCUAUUGUUUUUUUGUUCGAUGUUCCUCGCUACAUUGUUAUUUCUCAGUAUGUUGUCCUGCUAAUGUUGUAUGUCUUCGGUCUUUUCUUACAGUAAUUUGUUUCCAUGCUUCAU